Molecule: ribosomal RNA, 497 nt
Filed under: uncultured bacterium
Lineage: Bacteria
Description: partial 16S ribosomal RNA
Rfam family: Bacterial small subunit ribosomal RNA
Source: RNAcentral
GAUGAACGCUGGCGGCGUGCCUAAUACAUGCAAGUCGAGCGAACAGACGAGGAGCUUGCUCCUCUGACGUUAGCGGCGGACGGGUGAGUAACACGUGGAUAACCUACCUAUAAGACUGGGAUAACUUCGGGAAACCGGAGCUAAUACCGGAUAAUAUAUUGAACCGCAUGGUUCAAUAGUGAAAGACGGUUUUGCUGUCACUUAUAGAUGGAUCCGCGCCGCAUUAGCUAGUUGGUAAGGUAACGGCUUACCAAGGCAACGAUGCGUAGCCGACCUCAGAGGGUGAUCGGCCACACUGGAACUGAGACACGGUCCAGGCUCCUACGGGAGGCAGCAGUAGGGAAUCUUCCGCAAAGGUCGAAAGCCUGACGGAGCAGCGCCGCGUGAGUGAUGAAGGUCUUCGGAUCGUAAAACUCUGUUAUUAGGGAAGAACAAAUGUGUAAGUAACUAUGCACGUCUUGACGGUACCUAAUCAGAAAGCCACGGCUAACUACGUG